This 960-nucleotide long non-coding RNA is filed under the name Homo sapiens (human). RNAcentral describes it as "HSALNT0075817". The record is from RNAcentral. Lineage: Eukaryota; Metazoa; Chordata; Mammalia; Primates; Hominidae.
AAGUACAGAGGGUUACCUAUUCAGCCCUUGGGGAGCUUUGAGCAACACUCAUAACAGUGUACUUUUGACAUAGGACCUCUGAGUGAGUGCAAAAAGCAAGGAGAUAGGUGUGGAGAGUAAGAUCUGUUCAGAAACUUGGAAUGAUCUAGUGUGGCUGGAUGGGACCAUGUCUGUGAGGAAGUUCCAGAAGGGACUGUAGAGGUGUGCUGGGGCCAGAUCAUGAAGGGCCUUGUGCAACAUUAAGGAGGUGAAACUUUCACCUGAAAGUGAUGGUGAAGCACCGAUGGAUUUUUAGGAAAAUAUUUUGGGAGAAAUCCUGAUGAGUUAAGGCCCCCUCUAUACUACCCAUUUUUACAUUUCAUUUAAAAAUUAUAUGAAAAUAUGACAUGAACUGUUAGUUAUGGAGGAUAUAAAGUUGGAUGUUGCUUGUAUUAACAAGAAAAACUAUGCAAUACUUUAACUCCAGGUCAGGAUUCUUUAACAACUGACAUCUUAAGGCAACAUUGGUUCUCUGAGAAAGUGAAAGUUUUGCUGGCUGGAUCAGGAAAAGGAAGUGAUGCCUGGAAAUGGAGUAGCCAUCUAAGGGAUGAUAUCAAAAGCCACAUGCUGAGCAUUGUGAAGGGAAGAGGUUGAAGGAGCAGCAAGCAGUUGCACUAGUCCUGGACUUGUGAGUUACGGAUUUCUUGUGACGUGAGAAAAAUAAACCCCUUUUUGGUCAAACCCUGUUGGCCAGCUUUUUAUUACAGGAAGGCAAACUGAAUCCUCACUGGCUCAAGUGACUUGCUCACAGCCAUCAAACUAGUGAUGACAGCCAGGAUUAAGACUUGGAUCUGUUUCACUUCAAAGGCCAUGCUCUUUCCAGGCUAUUGGGCAACUUCAAGGUUUGUUACUCUUUCUAUGUACUUCUCAUUUUAGCUUCCUGGAGGCUGGGAAAGUGUUCAGGAACUCACAGACUCUUAC